CCUACGGGAGGCAGCAGUGGGGAAUUUUGGACAAUGGGCGCAAGCCUGAUCCAGCAAUGCCGCGUGCAGGAUGAAGGCCUUCGGGUUGUAAACUGCUUUUGUACGGAACGAAACGGUUCUUUCUAAUAAAGAGAGCUAAUGACGGUACCGUAAGAAUAAGCACCGGCUAACUACGUGCCAGCAGCCGCGGUAAUACGUAGGGUGCGAGCGUUAAUCGGAAUUACUGGGCGUAAAGCGUGCGCAGGCGGUUAUAUAAGACAGAUGUGAAAUCCCCGGGCUCAACCUGGGACCUGCAUUUGUGACUGUAUAGCUAGAGUACGGUAGAGGGGGAUGGAAUUCCGCGUGUAGCAGUGAAAUGCGUAGAUAUGCGGAGGAACACCGAUGGCGAAGGCAAUCCCCUGGACCUGUACUGACGCUCAUGCACGAAAGCGUGGGGAGCAAACAGGAUUAGAUACCCUGGUAGUCCACGCCCUAAACGAUGUCAACUGGUUGUUGGGUCUUCACUGACUCAGUAACGAAGCUAACGCGUGAAGUUGACCGCCUGGGGAGUACGGCCGCAAGGUUGAAACUCAAAUGAAUUGACCGGNGUGAGAGAGCGAGGACGACGACGAGGGAGGAGG
RNAcentral lists this ribosomal RNA (620 nucleotides) under uncultured bacterium. RNAcentral's name for it is "bacterial SSU rRNA". It matches the Rfam family "Bacterial small subunit ribosomal RNA", at positions 338 to 951 of the family's 1533-position model. The record is from RNAcentral.